This 1343-nucleotide ribosomal RNA is filed under the name uncultured bacterium. RNAcentral describes it as "16S ribosomal RNA". It matches the Rfam family "Bacterial small subunit ribosomal RNA", at positions 28 to 1378 of the family's 1533-position model. The record is from RNAcentral.
GACGAACGCUGGCGGCGUGCUUAACACAUGCAAGUCGAACGGAAAGGCCCUGCUUUUGUGGGGUGCUCGAGUGGCGAACGGGUGAGUAACACGUGAGUAACCUGCCCUUGACUUUGGGAUAACUUCAGGAAACUGGGGCUAAUACCGGAUAGGAGCUCCUGCUGCAUGGUGGGGGUUGGAAAGUUUCGGCGGUUGGGGAUGGACUCGCGGCUUAUCAGCUUGUUGGUGGGGUAGUGGCUUACCAAGGCUUUGACGGGUAGCCGGCCUGAGAGGGUGACCGGCCACAUUGGGACUGAGAUACGGCCCAGACUCCUACGGGAGGCAGCAGUGGGGAAUAUUGCACAAUGGGCGGAAGCCUGAUGCAGCAACGCCGCGUGCGGGAUGACGGCCUUCGGGUUGUAAACCGCUUUCGCCUGUGACGAGGCGUGAGUGACGGUAAUGGGUAAAGAAGCACCGGCUAACUACGUGCCAGCAGCCGCGGUGAUACGUAGGGUGCGAGCGUUGACCGGAUUUAUUGGGCGUAAAGGGCUCGUAGGUGGUUGAUCGCGUCGGAAGUGUAAUCUUGGGGCUUAACCCUGAGCGUGCUUUCGAUACGGGUUGACUUGAGGAAGGUAGGGGAGAAUGGAAUUCCUGGUGGAGCGGUGGAAUGCGCAGAUAUCAGGAGGAACACCAGUGGCGAAGGCGGUUCUCUGGGCCUUUCCUGACGCUGAGGAGCGAAAGCGUGGGGAGCGAACAGGCUUAGAUACCCUGGUAGUCCACGCUGUAAACGGUGGGUACUAGGUGUGGGGUCCAUUCCACGGGUUCCGUGCCGUAGCUAACGCUUUAAGUACCCCGCCUGGGGAGUACGGCCGCAAGGCUAAAACUCAAAGGAAUUGACGGGGCCCCGCACAAGCGGCGGAGCAUGCGGAUUAAUUCGAUGCAACGCGUAGAACCUUACCUGGGUUUGACAUGGAUCGGGAGUGCUCAGAGAUGGGUGUGCCUCUUUUGGGGUCGGUUCACAGGUGGUGCAUGCCUGUCGUCAGCUCGUGUCGUGAGAUGUUGGGUUAAGUCCCGCAACGAGCGCAACCCUUGUUCACUGUUGCCGGCACGUUAUGGUGGGGACUCAGUGGAGACCGCCGGGGUCAACUCGGAGGAAGGUGGGGAUGACGUCAAGUCCUCAUGCCCCUUAUGUCCAGGGCUUCACGCAUGCUACAAUGGCUGGUACAGAGAGUGGCGAGCCUGUGAGGGUGAGCGAAUCUCGGAAAGCCGGUCUCAGUUCGGAUUGGGGUCUGCAACUCGACCUCAUGAAGUCGGAGUCGCUAGUAAUCGCAGAUCAGCAACGCUGCGGUGAAUACGUUCCCGGG